Molecule: ribosomal RNA, 301 nt
Filed under: uncultured bacterium
Lineage: Bacteria
Description: partial 16S ribosomal RNA
Rfam family: Bacterial small subunit ribosomal RNA
Source: RNAcentral
CAGUCGCCCGGGAAUACGGAGGAUGCGAGCGUUAUUCGGAAUCAUUGGGUUUAAAGGGUCUGUAGGCGGGCUAUUAAGUCAGGGGUGAAAUAUUUCAGCUUAACUGGGAAAUUGCCUUUGAUACUGGUAGUCUUGAAUAUUUGUGAAGUUUUUGGAAUGUGUAGUGUAGCGGUGAAAUGCAUAGAUAUUACACAGAACACCGAUUGCGGAGGCAGGGGACUAACAAAUAAUUGACGCUGAGAGUCGAGAGCGUGGGGAGCGAACAGGAUUAGAUACCCCCGUAGUCCCUGUCUCUUAUACA